This is a long non-coding RNA of Podarcis muralis (Common wall lizard), 2532 nucleotides long. RefSeq lists it as uncharacterized. NCBI's taxonomy places the organism in Eukaryota, Metazoa, Chordata, Lepidosauria, Squamata, Lacertidae. The record is from RefSeq and is a predicted model, not a curated record.
GAGGGAAUGUGUACAGGUGAAAAGUCUGCUUGGAAAAACUCUGCUGCCACCCAGGUGAUAGCUUUUGAAGAGCAUCUUCCAGACCCUACUUCCUCUUUUUCAGAUCUUUGAACCAGACAUGGCAGUCCUUCAAGAAGUCUCUCAAUUAGAUGGCUGUCCUCUGCUAAGAGGAGAAUAGGGCCACCGUAAGGGAGAGAUGCUGGAAUGAAAUUGUCCUUUCUCCCUAUAAUGGUCAUAUCCCAGCUGCAGUGUUGGUUUUGUUUGCUCUCAGUAAAGGCUUUUCCUUCUGUCCUGCUUCCCAUGGCUUCACAGUUGGUACUUAUAGUGCCGAAAACACUCUGCUCGGCUAAGCAAUGCUAUUGAGGCCUUGGACUGAGUCCAAAUCCCCACUGAGCCACAGAGCUCCCUGGGUGGUCCCGGACAUGCCUGCCUCUCUUUCGUCAAUCACCCGCUCACCCACUUCAACAUUCGUGUGAUUUGCUGCAUCCUCCUGAAGAUCAGAGCCCCAUCAAACGCAACACAGUAUUUGAUUUGUUUUUCUCAUGGCAAGUUUUCAAUGCAGAAAGAAGAAUAAGAAGAAUAAAAAGACAACUAUUUACAUAUCUGUAGGAAUAACUGUCCUUUUGUAUUUGCAGGUUGCGGAAAAAGAUUUCUCCCCAAAUUCAGCUGGACAUUUGGGGACAGGUUUCUGCUUGCUUUUUCCUCUUGCCCUUGUUAAGGAUCGGAAGUUGUUUCUCAAGUGAGACCAGAUCAGACCAGACCGGCCUGGGGGCCAGCAAGCCCACUGCCCUGGCUCCCAGAGAAGCUGCACCACCUGCUCUUUCAGAAGGAGCAACGCUACCAGGAUCCAUCCAGCAGAAAAGCACCCAUCCUUGCCCCGGCAGCUGGGGCCGCCAUAAACAUGCCGUGCCAUUUUAGCCACUGCAAACACACCUUUGGCCACUGUGGACACAGCCAAACACUCAUUCCCCAUAUCUGCCUUUAAGCAAUGUACUAUACUGGGGAUGGAAUAAAUGAGUAAGGAAACCCUCAAAUCCCAGGUUGGGUGCAGGUUCCUUGUUCUUUUUGCACCCAUUCAGGUGAGAGGGCAAAUGUACAAUUGAAAGAACUUUCUCACCUUGAUCCCUAUGUAGAUAAAGAAAGGAAACACGAGGACACAACUUUAUCCUUAGUGGGGCCAUUUUGCCUCAUGGGAAGACAAAAAACAAACCUGUGCAAUUUUCAAAUGUACAUUCAUGUGAUAAUGCAGAUACAAAGCGGCUCAGCACUAGACUGGCCUGGUUAAAAAAGAGAACAGGGCUCUUGAACCGUUACAUUAGGAGUAGCCAACGCAGUGCCCUGGAGAUUCUGUUGGACUUAAAAUUCCAAUAACCACCUACCCAUUGGUGGUGAUGGGGGAGUCAGGGUCCAAAGGUCUCUGGAGGACCCCACAUUGACUAUCUCUGCUUGACGUAAUUGCUAGGCAAGUUACACCUGCUGGAAUGCCCUCCCCACUAUGCAACAAUUAAAAGUGCAAGGGUUUUGACUUCUUUUGCAUUUGACCAGGCUAGUCAUGAUCUAGAAGAGUAUCUUGUGACUUGUGAGGUGAUCAGCUGAACUGCAGGAAAUUCACAUGACUCAGUCAGUUGAACCACAGAAGGGUAAUAUGCAUAGCUUUGCAAUGGGGACAUAAAAUGGGGGAAAAUCAUGUCUGUAACCUGCCUAUGGCUGGGAGUUUAAACUGUAGUUACUGACUUGACUUAUGCAAUUAUGUAUUCCUGUUCUGAGGUUGUUAUAUAACUGCCUAGGAAGAAAGGUAGGCCUGUAAAUUUGUUUUCUGAGGCAACUUACACACACACACACACACACACACACACACACACACACACGUUGGAAGAACUGUUUAAUCAUGGAACUGAGAUCCUCAUAUCUUGAUGCUUGUUGGUGGAAAAAAUAUAUUUCUAUACUGCUUUAUAUUUUUAAUAAAAAUCUCAAAGUGGUGUACAGCAUAUUAAAACAAAUAAACAAUAGCCGGGCGAUGUUCUUCUGGCUUCAUGAGGAGCCUCUUUUGUAGAGCUGGUGAGUGUGGGCCCUGCCCCCUAGGGCAGGUGGAAAGAGCCUUGCAGGGAGCAGCCUUGACGCCUCACAGCCGGGCAAUGUUCCUCCGGCCUCAUGAGGAUACUCUUUUGUAGGGCUGGUGAGUUUAGUUAAUUCCAUACAGUGCAAACCAUGGAGAAAGUAAACUGUGAUCCAUGUGGAUUGUUGUGGGGCAGUAAAAGAGAGCAGGGGAGACCGAGAUCUGUAGCCACAAGAUGCUGCAAAUAAUCAAAACAUGCCACAUGUAGCUAAGCGUGCUAUAUUUCACAGGGGAGUUUGAAGAAUCUCAGCCUGGUGUGCUAGAAAAUUGUUUCUUGAUCCCAAAUGCUAUCAGAAUAACCCAGAUCAUUUAGAACAAGACUCAGGUGACCACCUGAGUGAUCUCUGUAGAUCAAAAUCUCAAAAUCUUUAGCAGACUGAAAUGGAGGACCAUUCAUGACAUCUCUGAAGCGAUCA